AAUGGACAAGAAAGAUAAAAAAAUAACAACACAAGAAAAUGAGGAAAUUAGCUCUUCUUCACAUGCUGUCCGGGCUUAUUCUUUUUUUUUUUUUUAUUACGUAAU
This 105-nucleotide non-coding RNA is filed under the name Heterosigma akashiwo. Lineage: Eukaryota; Raphidophyceae; Chattonellales; Chattonellaceae. The record is from RNAcentral.